Molecule: RNase P RNA, 334 nt
Filed under: uncultured Ruminococcus sp.
Lineage: Bacteria; Bacillati; Bacillota; Clostridia; Eubacteriales; Oscillospiraceae
Description: Bacterial RNase P class A
Rfam family: Bacterial RNase P class A
About the family: Ribonuclease P (RNase P) is a ubiquitous endoribonuclease, found in archaea, bacteria and eukarya as well as chloroplasts and mitochondria. Its best characterised activity is the generation of mature 5'-ends of tRNAs by cleaving the 5'-leader elements of precursor-tRNAs.
Source: RNAcentral
GUAAAUUGAACAGUCGCGCGUUUAUUUUGAAAAGAAUUUUCGCGAGGAAAGUCCGGGCUCCACAGAGCGAUAACAACGGCUAACGGCCGCCGAGGGUGACCUUAGGGAUAGUGCAACAGAAAAUAACCGCCGUUUUUCGGUAAGGAUGGAAAGGUGAGGUAAGAGCUCACCGCUGGUAUGGAGACAUACCUGGCGUGUAAACCCUGUUUGGAGCAACACCGUGGAGGGACAUUUGCCUGCUCGGCAGUCCCGUGGAGGUGGCGUUGAGCAAGUCGGCAACGGCUUGCCAAGAUAGAUGACUGUUCACGACAGAACCCGGCUUACAGAUUUAGUC